Molecule: long non-coding RNA, 480 nt
Filed under: Citrus maxima (pomelo)
Lineage: Eukaryota; Viridiplantae; Streptophyta; Magnoliopsida; Sapindales; Rutaceae
Description: long non-coding RNA (CMAX_LNC003021)
Source: RNAcentral
AAGAACUCGCUUGCUUUUGAAGUUUUGAUUACGAUUGGUCACAAACAGAUAUCUUUUUCUGAUUUGAAGAAUAUGGAAACAUCUUUCGCAGGUUUUUGGCUAAUUUCAGUUUAAUACCAUUUAUGAUUAUUAUUUUAAUGUUUGCAUUUACAAAUAUUUUUUAAUAUGAAAUUUUCAGGCGGAAAUGGAUGGUCGGAGGGUUUCUUCUCUUUCUUUGCUAUUUCUGAUGAUGAAAUCAUAUGUGACAAUCUUGAUCUUCUCGUUGUUCCUCAAUACGGGAGAAAUCCUGACUAUAGUGGUUAAGUGUAAUGCUACUCUUUUGUAUUAUGUUUAAUAAAUUAAAUAAAGGACAUGUACUUUUAGUAUCCAUGUCAGUUAAUUUGUUUUAAUUCAAUUAUUAAGAUUUAUGGAGAUGUACAAGAGAUUUUCUUAUUUACGUCUACGUAUAUUUUAUCUUUAUUAAUAAAUAAAACUAUUGUC